AGUUUGAUUCUGGCUCAGGAUGAACGCUGGCGGCAUGCCUAAUACAUGCAAGUCGAACGGAGUGAAGCCUUCGGGUUUCAUUCAGUGGCGAACGGGUGAGUAAUACGCAGGGAACCUGGCCAUGGCAGGGGGAUACACUCUGGAAACGGAGCAUAAGACCCCAUAGGCAGUAAGGCGGCAUCGCCUUACUGUUAAAGAAAGCUGAAAGGCUUUGGCGAUGGAUGGACCUGCGGUGCAUUAGCUUGUUGGUGAGGCAACGGCUUACCAAGGCGAUGAUGCAUAGCCGGCCUGAGAGGGCGGACGGCCACACUGGGACUGAGACACGGCCCAGACUCCUGCGGGAGGCAGCAGUAGGGAAUUUUCGUCAAUGGGCGCAAGCCUGAACGAGCAAUGCCGCGUGAGUGAGGAAGGUCUUCGGACUGUAAAGCUCUGUUGCCGGGGAAAAAGGGGAAAUGCAGGAAAUGGCAUUUCAUGGAUGGUACCCGGCCAGAAAGCCACGGCUAACUACGUGCCAGCAGCCGCGGUAAUACGUAGGUGGCGAGCGUUAUCCGGAAUGAUUGGGCGUAAAGGGUGCGCAGGCGGUCUGUUAAGUCUGAAGGCAAAGGGAUGAGCUCAACUCAUUUAUGAUUCAGAAACUGGCAGACUUGAGGACAGGAGAGGGCGGUGGAACUCCAUGUGUAGCGGUAAAACGCGCAGAGAUAUGGAAGAACACCAGUGGCGAAGGCGGCCGCCUGGCCUGUGACUGACGCUGAGGCACGAAAGCGUGGGGAGCAAAUAGGAUUAGAUACCCUAGUAGUCCACGCCGUAAACGAUGAGGAGCAGGUGUUGGGAGUGAAAUCUCAGUGCCGAAGCCAACGCAGUGACUCCUCCGCCUGGGGAGUAUGCACGCAAGUGUGAAACUCAAAGGAAUUGACGGGGGCCCGCACAAGCGGUGGAGUAUGUGGUUUAAUUCGAAGCAACGCGAAGAACCUUACCAGGUUUUGACAUCGGAUGCGAAGGCGCAGAGAUGCGCUGGAGGCUAUCAUCCAGACAGGUGGUGCAUGGUUGUCGUCAGCUCGUGUCGUGAGAUGUUCAGUUAAGUCUGGCAACGAGCGCAACCCCCGUGGUAUGUUACUAACGCAUUUGGGCGAGGACUCAUAUCAGACUGCCGGUGACAAACCGGAGGAAGGCGGGGAUGACGUCAAAUCAUCAUGCCCCUUAUGACCUGGGCUACACACGUACUACAAUGGCGUCUACAGAGGGAAGCGACCCUGAGAAGGGAAGCGAAACCGGAAAAGGGCGUCCCAGUUCGGAUUGAAGUCUGCAACCCGACUUCAUGAAGAUGGAAUCGCUAGUAAUCGCGGAUCAGCAUGCCGCGGUGAAUACGUUCCCGGGCCUUGUACACACCGCCCGUCAAACCAUGGAAGCCGGCAACGCCCGAAGCCGGUGGCAUAACCUUUUAGGAGUGAGCCGUCGAAGGCGGGGCCGAUGACUGGGGUUAAGUCGUAACAAGGUACCC
RNAcentral lists this ribosomal RNA (1498 nucleotides) under uncultured bacterium. Its description in RNAcentral is "16S ribosomal RNA". It matches the Rfam family "Bacterial small subunit ribosomal RNA". The record is from RNAcentral.